GACGAACGCUGGCGGCGCGCCUAACACAUGCAAGUCGAACGAGCGAGAGAGAGCUUGCUUUCUCGAGCGAGUGGCGAACGGGUGAGUAACGCGUGAGGAACCUGCCUCAAAGAGGGGGACAACAGUUGGAAACGACUGCUAAUACCGCAUAAGCCCACGACCCGGCAUCGGGUAGAGGGAAAAGGAGCAAUCCGCUUUGAGAUGGCCUCGCGUCCGAUUAGCUAGUUGGUGAGGUAACGGCCCACCAAGGCGACGAUCGGUAGCCGGACUGAGAGGUUGAACGGCCACACUGGGACUGAGACACGGCCCAGACUCCUACGGGAGGCAGCAGUGGGGAAUAUUGCACAAUGGGGGAAACCCUGAUGCAGCGACGCCGCGUGGAGGAAGAAGGUCUUCGGAUUGUAAACUCCUGUUGUUGAGGAAGAUAAUGACGGUACUCAACAAGGAAGUGACGGCUAACUACGUG
RNAcentral lists this ribosomal RNA (466 nucleotides) under uncultured bacterium. Its description in RNAcentral is "partial 16S ribosomal RNA". It matches the Rfam family "Bacterial small subunit ribosomal RNA", at positions 28 to 507 of the family's 1533-position model. The record is from RNAcentral.